UACAGAGGGGGCAAGCGUUGUUCGGAAUUACUGGGCGUAAAGGGCGCGUAGGCGGCCUGUUAAGUCGAACGUGAAAUCCCCGGGCUCAACCCGGGAACUGCGUCCGAUACUGGCAGGCUUGAAUUCGGGAGAGGGAUGUGGAAUUCCAGGUGUAGCGGUGAUAUGCGUAGAUAUCUGGAGGAACACCGGUGGCGAAGGCGGCAUCCUGGACCGAUAUUGACGCUGAUGCGCGAAAGCCAGGGGAGCAAACGGG
This 253-nucleotide ribosomal RNA is filed under the name uncultured bacterium. Its description in RNAcentral is "partial 16S ribosomal RNA". It matches the Rfam family "Bacterial small subunit ribosomal RNA", at positions 524 to 776 of the family's 1533-position model. The record is from RNAcentral.